Molecule: ribosomal RNA, 254 nt
Filed under: uncultured bacterium
Lineage: Bacteria
Description: partial 16S ribosomal RNA
Rfam family: Bacterial small subunit ribosomal RNA
Source: RNAcentral
UACGUAGGGUGCAAGCGUUAAUCGGAAUUACUGGGCGUAAAGCGUGCGCAGGCGGUUGUGCAAGACAGAUGUGAAAUCCCCGGGCUCAACCUGGGAAUUGCAUUUGUGACUGCACGGCUAGAGUGUGUCAGAGGGGGGUAGAAUUCCACGUGUGAGCAGUGAAAUGCGUAGAGAUGUGGAGGAAUACCGAUGGCGAAGGCAGCCCCCUGGGAUAACACUGACGCUCAUGCACGAAAGCGUGGGGAGCAAACAGG